This 575-nucleotide long non-coding RNA is filed under the name Eutrema salsugineum. RNAcentral's name for it is "long non-coding RNA (ESAL_LNC002159)". The record is from RNAcentral. Lineage: Eukaryota; Viridiplantae; Streptophyta; Magnoliopsida; Brassicales; Brassicaceae.
CUAUCGGGCAAGUCUCUGGUUUAGGCGUUGGUACGGGAGACGGAGGCGGAGGAGGACAUGGGGUUGGUGGAGGUGGCGGUGGUGGACAUGGCGUCUCUGGGGUUGGAGUUGGCGGUGGCGGCGGCUUCACGGUGGGUGGUUUUGGAGUGUACGGUGGAGGAGAAGGUGUUGGGGUUGGAGUGUACGGAGGUGGAGGCUUGACGGUGGGCGGUUUUGGUGUGUGAGGAGGUGGUUUAGGAGUGUAAGGAGGUGGUUUAACGGUGGGUGGCUUAGGAGUGUAAGGAGGUGAUUUUGGGGUGUGGUGAGGAGGUGGUUUAGGAGUGUGAUGAGGAGGUGGUUUAGGAGUGUGAUGAGGAGGUGGUUUAGGAGUAUGAUGAGGAGGUGGUUUGACGGUUGGUGGUUUAGGCGGUUUAACGGGAUGUUUAGGCGGUUUAACGGGGUGUGGAGAUGGUUUGGGAGGGUCACUACAGUCACAAGCGUAAGAGACUGCAAGGAAACCAAGGAGGAUGAGUAUCACAAAGGAGGAGUUUUGCUUGUGAAGAAGCCCCAUGUUGAGAAAGAUGGUUUAGGGUUUG